Long non-coding RNA from Oncorhynchus keta (chum salmon), 439 nucleotides. RefSeq lists it as uncharacterized. The transcript has 5 exons. NCBI's taxonomy places the organism in Eukaryota, Metazoa, Chordata, Actinopteri, Salmoniformes, Salmonidae. The record is from RefSeq and is a predicted model, not a curated record.
AGUGACUAAGUUCAGGGCAGGGUACUGGACGGUGGUCAGCUAGUAACAGUGACUAAGUUCAGGGCAGGGUACUGGGCGGUGGUCAGCUAGUAACAGUGUCUAAGUUCAGGGCAGGGUACUGGGCGGUGGUCAGCUAGUAACAGUGUCUAAGUUCAGGGCAGGGUACUGGGCGGUGGUCAGCUAGUAACAGUGACUAAGGUUCAGGGCAGGGUACUGGACGGUGGUCAGCUAGUAACAGUGACUAAGUUCAGGGCAGGGUACUGGACGGUGGUCAGCUAGUAACAGUGUCUAAGUUCAGGGCAGGGUACUGGGCGGUGGUCAGCUAGUAACAGUGACUAAGUUCAGGGCAGGGUACUGGGCGGUGGUCAGCUAGUAACAGUGUCUAAGUUCAGGGCAGGGUACUGGGCAGUGGUCAGCUAGUAACAGUGUCUAAGUUCAG